This 139-nucleotide transfer RNA is filed under the name Karstenula rhodostoma CBS 690.94. Its description in RNAcentral is "tRNA-OTHER". Lineage: Eukaryota; Fungi; Ascomycota; Dothideomycetes; Pleosporales; Didymosphaeriaceae. The record is from RNAcentral.
GGUCUUAUGGUCUAGUGGUGUAAGUUCAACAGCUUCGACAACAUCACAACAUCAACUAAUAGUGAAACAGAUGAUUCUCGCUUAGGGCUAUCCUGAGCACAUUUGCGAGAGGCCCCGCGUUCGAAUCGCGGUAAGACCC